Molecule: long non-coding RNA, 339 nt
Organism: Rosa chinensis
Lineage: Eukaryota; Viridiplantae; Streptophyta; Magnoliopsida; Rosales; Rosaceae
Exons: 3
Source: RefSeq, a predicted model, not a curated record
AUGCCGACGCAGAGGAGGGAGUGCCUGAUCUUCUGUUCAUACAUGGGCUUGGUAACAGUGCAGGCUUGAGCUGAAAUGACGAUUUUGCCCUCAUACCUGAUUUCUUGAAAAUCAAUGUGAAUCUUCUUCAUAUGUGGUUGAUUUAGGGAUUGGGCUCUGCGAUUGCAAGAGAAAUUUAGGGCAAGAUGAUUGAGGUAUUCGCUAGUCUCCCGAACAAGUCUACAAUAGUUGGUGGUCUUCAUGGACGACUUGGUUAAGAACAAUGCAGAGUAAAAUAGGCAAGUGCUCUCUACCCUUUAUCGGGCCAGAUUUACAUAAAACUUCGUUAUGUGAAAGCAG